RNAcentral lists this long non-coding RNA (679 nucleotides) under Anas platyrhynchos (mallard). Its description in RNAcentral is "lncRNA (ENSAPLG00020012826.1)". The record is from RNAcentral. Lineage: Eukaryota; Metazoa; Chordata; Aves; Anseriformes; Anatidae.
GAAAUAGUGCUGCUUCAAUGUACCAUUGAUGAGCAGUUUCCUCCUACGCGAGUUGUCUUCUGCAAGAAUGGGCUGGAGGAGUUCAGCCUGAAAGCCCAGCAGGGAAAGGUCAUCUACACUAUGGACCUGAACAUCACCUCCAGAAGUGCUGGGACAUACACGUGUGGGUACCAGCAGAGGAACAAGGAAAACUGGGCGAGGAACUCUGCUCUCAGUGCUCCCCGGACCUUGUCUGUGGCAGGUGAGACACGGCCCCACGGCGGUGAGGGUAGAAGGUUUCAGAAAACUGCUGGGGCUAGAGCUGUGUGCUGCAGCAGAGAGGGCAUGGCUCUGGGGUGGUUCCCCCUCGGGACUGUUCCCUCUCCUCAGAGGCAGCCCCUACAGAGAGACAUGCCCGGAUUCUGCACACCCUCCCCACAGGCAGGGUGCUGGCAGUGGCGGCCGUCGGCCUUGUCCUCCUGGCUGCAGGCAGCUGGUUUUGCCAUCAGGAAAGGUGCCUGCAGAGGGAGAUGCCCAAGAGCCAUUCCAUUCCUCUCCAGGCAGCAGCACGUUGACAGCCCACAGACGGAAGACACCAACUAUGGUGACAUCCAGUGUGAGUACUACCUCCUCCCUUGGGGGAAGCCACAUGCUCCUCUCCCCAUGAGAAUCCUGUGCGAGCCCCCAUGCAAUCCCACUC